This 642-nucleotide long non-coding RNA is filed under the name Lathyrus oleraceus (garden pea). RNAcentral describes it as "Pisum sativum (pea) long non-coding RNA (PSAT_LNC019220)". The record is from RNAcentral. Lineage: Eukaryota; Viridiplantae; Streptophyta; Magnoliopsida; Fabales; Fabaceae.
UUUGAGUCACAAGCUUGAAUUGUAUCACAUUAUUUUGGACUUGAAUCACAAGUGAGUUUUCAUUACAAGCACACUACAUAAGUAAAUACAUAAGCAUUGCAUUACAUGAAUAAUUUUACAAUCCUGUUACAUACAUAGCAUUUACGUGGAAAUAAAAGGAAGGAAAGGAGGGAGGGUUAUGUGCUUGUCUUGAGUUUGCAUUGACAACAAUCAUCAUCCUCAUGACGCUCCUUCAAGAGUCAUCAAGCAUCUACAUGGCCUUUGAAUUCCACAACCAUGAUGUAUUUAGGCCAUGCCAACUCAUACCACAUGCUCCAGGUUUCCAAACCUGUCACAAAGCCAACAUAAGCGGGGAUUCAAGCAACAUUCAAGCCAAUUUCAUAAACCUAACAGUUAGCAUUUAUCACAAAGUAACUAAAAAGUUCACACAAUAGCAGAACUUAACAAGGAAAUUUCCACAACAAAAUAAACCACAAGGCAAGACCACAUAGACACGCCAAUAUCAGUCCAUAAACCUACAACUUACUUCACCAUGACGGUCUAAUAUGCAAGCUAUAGCAAAAUCGAAUGAGCCAUCAACAACUUGCAGCAACCUACAACAAGGCAUCCAACAAAUUUGCAUGUUCAGACAAUUAAUGAAAC